This 504-nucleotide ribosomal RNA is filed under the name uncultured bacterium. RNAcentral's name for it is "bacterial SSU rRNA". It matches the Rfam family "Bacterial small subunit ribosomal RNA", at positions 8 to 507 of the family's 1533-position model. The record is from RNAcentral.
AGAGUUUGAUCAUGGCUCAGAUUGAACGCUGGCGGCAUGCUUUACACAUGCAAGUCGAGCGGCAGCGCGGGGGCAACCCUGGCGGCGAGCGGCGAACGGGUGAGGAAUACAUCGGAACGUGCCCGAGAGUGGGGGAUAACGCCGCGAAAGCGGCGCUAAUACCGCAUAUUCUCUGAGGAGGAAAGUGGGGGACCGCAAGGCCUCACGCUCACGGAGCGGCCGAUGUCGGAUUAGCUAGUUGGUGGGGUAAAGGCUUACCAAGGCGACGAUCCGUAGCUGGUCUGAGAGGAUGAUCAGCCACACUGGGACUGAGACACGGCCCAGACUCCUACGGGAGGCAGCAGUGGGGAAUUUUGGACAAUGGGGGCAAUCCUGAUCCAGCCAUGCCGCGUGCGGGAAGAAGGCCUUCGGGUUGUAAACCGCUUUUAACCGGGAAGAAAAGGCAUCUCUUAAUACGGGGUGUUCUUGACGGUACCGGUGGAAUAAGCACCGGCUAACUACGUG